GUUUCGGGGCAGGGUGAAAUUCCCUACCGGCGGUGAAAGCCCGCGAGCGGCGGAAAUAAGCGCGAUACAAAAGCGCGAACCGACGCAGAUCCGGUGAGAUUCCGGAGCCGACGGUACAGUCCGGAGGAGAGAAA
Molecule: non-coding RNA, 134 nt
Filed under: bovine gut metagenome
Description: FMN riboswitch (RFN element)
Rfam family: FMN riboswitch aptamer (RFN element)
About the family: The RFN element is a highly conserved domain that is found frequently in the 5'-untranslated regions of prokaryotic mRNAs that encode for flavin mononucleotide (FMN) biosynthesis and transport proteins. This element is a metabolite-dependent riboswitch that directly binds FMN in the absence of proteins.
Source: RNAcentral